GCGUGCUUAACACAUGCAAGUCGAAGGAGAAGAGAUGAUAAGCUUGCUUCUUAUUAUGUCUAGUGGCAGACGGGUGAGUAACGCGUAUCCAACCUGCCCUUCACAUGGGGACAACCGCUGGAAACAGCUGCUAAUACCGAAUACGUUCUUUCCGCCGCAUGACGGAAUGAAGAAAGGGAGGCCUUCGGGCUUUCGCUGGAGGAGGGGCUUGCGUCUGAUUAGCUGGUUGGAGGGGUAACGGCCCACCAAGGCGACGAUCGAUAGCCGGUCUGACAGGAUGAACGGCCACAUUGGGACUGACACACGGCCCAGACUCCUACGGGAGGCAGCAGUGGGGAAUCUUCCGCAAUGGACGAAAGUCUGACGGAGCAACGCCAGCGUGAACGAUGACGGCCUUCGGGUUGUAAAGUUCUGUUAUAUGGGACGAACAGGACAUCGGUUAAUACCCGGUGACUUUGACGGUACCGUAAUGAGAGAGCCACGGCUAACUACGUGCCAGCAGCCGCGGUAAUACCUAGGUGGCAUGCGUUGACCGGAAUUAUAGGGCGUAAGGGGCGCGCAAGCGGCAUCGCAGGUCGGCCUUAGAAGUGCGGGGCUUAACCCCGUGAGGGGACCGAAACUGUGAAGCUCGAGUGUCGCAAAGAAAAGCGGAAUUCCUAGUGUAACGGUGAAAUGCGUAGAUAUUAGGAGGAACACCAGUGGUGAAAGCGACUUUCUGGUCGACAGCUGACGCUGAGGCGCGAAAGCCAGGGGAGCAAUCGAGAUUAGAUAUCUCGGUAGUGCUGACAGUAAACGAUGGAUACUAGGUGUAGGAGGUAUUGAUUCCUUUUGUGCAGGAGUUAUCGCAAUAAGUAUGCCGCCUGGGGAGUACGGCCGCAAGGAUGAAACUCAAAGGAAUUGACGGGGACCCGCACAAGCGGUGGAGUAUGUGGUGUAAUUAGACGCAACGCGAAGAGCCUUACCAAGCCUUGACAUUGAUUGGUACGGAAAGAGAUUUCCGGUUCUUGUUCGGAAGACAUGAAAACAGGUGGUGCACGGCUGUCGUCAGCUGGUGUCGUGAGAUGUUGGGAUAAGUCCCGCAACGAGCGCAACCCAUAUCUUCUGUUGCCAGCACCUCGGGUGGGGACUCAGAAGAGACUGCCGCAGACAAUGCGGAGGAAGGCGGGGAAGAGGUCAAGUCAUCAUGCCCCUUAUGGCUUGGGCUACACACGUACUACAAUGGCUCUUAAUAGAGGGAAGAGAAGGAGCGAUCCGGAGCAAACCCCAAAAACAGAGUCCCAGUUUGGAAUGCAGGAUGCAACUCGCCUGCAUGAAGCAGGAAUCGCUAGUAAUCGCAGGUCAGCAUAUUGCGGUGAAUACGUUGCCGGGCUUUGUACACACCGCCCGUCACACCACGAAAGUCAUUCACACCGGAAGCCGGUGAGGCAACCGCAAGGAACCAUCCGUCGAAGGUGGGGGCGAUGAUUGGG
Molecule: ribosomal RNA, 1469 nt
Filed under: uncultured organism
Description: SSU rRNA
Rfam family: Bacterial small subunit ribosomal RNA
Source: RNAcentral